RNAcentral lists this ribosomal RNA (812 nucleotides) under uncultured bacterium. Its description in RNAcentral is "bacterial SSU rRNA". It matches the Rfam family "Bacterial small subunit ribosomal RNA", at positions 156 to 962 of the family's 1533-position model. The record is from RNAcentral.
AGUUACGCUAAUACCGCAUACGACCUGAGGGUGAAAGUGGGGGACCGCAAGGCCUCACGCGAUUGGAGCGGCCGAUGUCAGAUUAGCUAGUUGGUGGGGUAAAGGCCCACCAAGGCGACGAUCUGUAGCGGGUCUGAGAGGAUGAUCCGCCACACUGGGACUGAGACACGGCCCAGACUCCUACGGGAGGCAGCAGUGGGGAAUUUUGGACAAUGGGGGCAACCCUGAUCCAGCCAUGCCGCGUGCGGGAAGAAGGCCUUCGGGUUGUAAACCGCUUUCGGACGGAAAGAAAUCGCAUGGGCUAAUACCCUGUGUGGAUGACGGUACCGUAAGAAGAAGCACCGGCUAACUACGUGCCAGCAGCCGCGGUAAUACGUAGGGUGCGAGCGUUAAUCGGAAUUACUGGGCGUAAAGCGUGCGCAGGCGGAUUGUUAAGCAAGACGUGAAAUCCCCGGGCUUAACCUGGGAAUGGCGUUUUGAACUGGCAGUCUAGAGUGCGUCAGAGGGGGGUGGAAUUCCACGUGUAGCAGUGAAAUGCGUAGAGAUGUGGAGGAACACCGAUGGCGAAGGCAGCCCCCUGGGAUGACACUGACGCUCAUGUACGAAAGCGUGGGUAGCAAACAGGAUUAGAUACCCUGGUAGUCCACGCCCUAAACGAUGUCAACUGGUUGUUGGGGGAGUGAAAUCCCUUAGUAACGAAGCUAACGCGUGAAGUUGACCGCCUGGGGAGUACGGUCGCAAGAUUAAAACUCAAAGGAAUUGACGGGGACCCGCACAAGCGGUGGAUGAUGUGGAUUAAUUCGAUGCAACGC